RNAcentral lists this small RNA (29 nucleotides) under Bombyx mori (domestic silkworm). RNAcentral describes it as "ovarian small RNA-31961". Lineage: Eukaryota; Metazoa; Arthropoda; Insecta; Lepidoptera; Bombycidae. The record is from RNAcentral.
UGACUGCAUCGACGGAGCAAUCGCCGAUG